GACGGUACCUGAGGAAUAAGCAUCGGCUAACUCCGUGCCAGCAGCCGCGGUAAUACGGAGGAUGCAAGCGUUAUCCGGAAUGAUUGGGCGUAAAGGGUCCGCAGGUGGCUAUGUAAGUCUGCUGUUAAAUAGUCAUGCUCAACAUGAUCAAGGCAGUGGAAACUACAAGGCUAGAGUGCGUUCGGGGCAGAGGGAAUUCCUGGUGUAGCGGUGAAAUGCGUAGAUAUCAGGAAGAACACCGGUGGCGAAAGCGCUCUGCUAGGCCGCAACUGACACUGAGGGACGAAAGCUAGGGGAGCGAAUGGGAU
RNAcentral lists this ribosomal RNA (308 nucleotides) under Anabaena sp. SAG 28.79. RNAcentral's name for it is "bacterial SSU rRNA". It matches the Rfam family "Bacterial small subunit ribosomal RNA", at positions 471 to 778 of the family's 1533-position model. Lineage: Bacteria; Bacillati; Cyanobacteriota; Cyanophyceae; Nostocales; Nostocaceae. The record is from RNAcentral. RNAcentral also lists the same sequence under 1 other name.